This 429-nucleotide ribosomal RNA is filed under the name bacterium. RNAcentral describes it as "partial 16S ribosomal RNA". It matches the Rfam family "Bacterial small subunit ribosomal RNA", at positions 355 to 776 of the family's 1533-position model. The record is from RNAcentral.
UGGGGAAUCUUCCGCAAUGGACGAAAGUCUGCCGGAGCAACGCCGCGUGAGUGAUGACGGCCUUCGGGUUGUAAAGCUCUGUUAAUCGGGACGAAUGGUUCUUGUGCGAAUAGUGCAAGGAUUUGACGGUACCGGAAUAGAAAGCCACGGCUAACUACGUGCCAGCAGCCGCGGUAAUACGUAGGUGGCAAGCGUUGUCCGGAAUUAUUGGGCGUAAAGCGCGCGCAGGCGGAUUGGUCAGUCUGUCUUAAAAGUUCGGGGCUUAACCCCGUGAUGGGAUGGAAACUGCCAAUCUAGAGUAUCGGAGAGGAAAGUGGAAUUCCUAGUGUAGCGGUGAAAUGCGUAGAUAUUAGGAAGAACACCAGUGGCGAAGGCGACUUUCUGGACGAAAACUGACGCUGAGGCGCGAAAGCCAGGGGAGCGAACGGG